UACGUAGGGUGCAAGCGUUAAUCGGAAUUACUGGGCGUAAAGCGUGCGCAGGCGGUUUUGUAAGUUUGUCGUGAAAUCCCCGGGCUCAACCUGGGAAUUGCGAUGAAGACUGCAAGGCUAGAAUCUGGCAGAGGGGGGUAGAAUUCCACGUGUAGCAGUGAAAUGCGUAGAGAUGUGGAGGAACACCAGUGGCGAAAGCGGCUCCUGGUCCGACACCGACGUUCAGGCACGAAAGCGUGGGGGAGCAAACAGG
RNAcentral lists this ribosomal RNA (253 nucleotides) under uncultured bacterium. RNAcentral's name for it is "partial 16S ribosomal RNA". It matches the Rfam family "Bacterial small subunit ribosomal RNA", at positions 524 to 776 of the family's 1533-position model. The record is from RNAcentral.